GCUAAGAAUAUUCCGCAAUGGACGAAAGUCUGACGGAGCGACGCCGCGUGGAUGAGGAAGGCCGAAAGGUUGUAAAGUCCUUUUGUCGAUGAAGAAUAAGUGGUGGAGGGAAUGCCAUCAUGAUGACGUUAGUCGGCGAAUAAGCCCCGGCUAACUUCGUGCCAGCAGCCGCGGUAAUACGAAGGGGGCAAGCGUUAUUCGGAAUGACUGGGCGUAAAGGGCGUGUAGGUGGAUUUGUACGUUUGAUGUGAAAGUCCUGGGCUUAACCUAGGGAUUGCAUUGAAUACGGCAAGUCUAGAGCGUGAGAGGGGAAAACGGAAUUGCGGGUGUAGAGGUGAAAUUCGUAGAUAUCCGCAGGAACACCAAUGGCGAAGGCAGUUUUCUGGCUCAUGGCUGACACUGAGGCGCGAAAGCGUGGGGAGCAAACAGGAUUAGAAACCCGGGUAGUCC
Molecule: ribosomal RNA, 450 nt
Filed under: uncultured bacterium
Lineage: Bacteria
Description: partial 16S ribosomal RNA
Rfam family: Bacterial small subunit ribosomal RNA
Source: RNAcentral